AUACGGAGGGUGCAAACGUUAAUCGGAAUUACUGGGCGUAAAGCGCGCGUAGGCGACCAGGUAAGUCAACUGUGAAAUCCCGGGGCUCAACCCCGGGGCUGCAAGUGAUACUGCCUGGCUAGAGCUCGGUAGAGGCAAGUGGAAUUCCCGGUGUAGCGGUGGAAUGCGUAGAUAUCGGGAAGAACACCAGUGGCGAAGGCGGCUUGCUGGGCCGAUGCUGACGCUGAGGCGCGAAAGCGUGGGGAGCAAACAGGAUUAGAUACCCCGGUAGUCC
Molecule: ribosomal RNA, 274 nt
Filed under: uncultured bacterium
Lineage: Bacteria
Description: partial 16S ribosomal RNA
Rfam family: Bacterial small subunit ribosomal RNA
Source: RNAcentral